UGGGGAAUCUUCCGCAAUGGACGAAAGUCUGACGGAGCAACGCCGCGUGAGUGAUGACGGCCUUCGGGUUGUAAAGCUCUGUUAAUCGGGACGAAUGGUUCUUGUGCGAAUAGUGCAAGGAUUUGACGGUACCGGAAUAGAAAGCCACGGCUAACUACGUGCCAGCAGCCGCGGUAAUACGUAGGUGGCAAGCGUUGUCCGGAAUUAUUGGGCGUAAAGCGCGCGCAGGCGGAUUGGUCAGUCUGUCUUAAAAGUUCGGGGCUUAACCCCGUGAUGGGAUGGAAACUGCCAAUCUAGAGUAUCGGAGAGGAAAGUGGAAUUCCUAGUGUAGCGGUGAAAUGCGUAGAUAUUAGGAAGAACACCAGUGGCGAAGGCGACUUUCUGGACGAAAACUGACGCUGAGGCGCGAAAGCCAGGGGAGCGAACAGG
RNAcentral lists this ribosomal RNA (429 nucleotides) under bacterium. Its description in RNAcentral is "partial 16S ribosomal RNA". It matches the Rfam family "Bacterial small subunit ribosomal RNA", at positions 355 to 776 of the family's 1533-position model. The record is from RNAcentral.